Molecule: transfer RNA, 75 nt
Filed under: Rhodospirillaceae bacterium
Lineage: Bacteria; Pseudomonadati; Pseudomonadota; Alphaproteobacteria; Rhodospirillales; Rhodospirillaceae
Description: tRNA-Ile
Rfam family: tRNA
About the family: Transfer RNA (tRNA) molecules are approximately 80 nucleotides in length. Their secondary structure includes four short double-helical elements and three loops (D, anti-codon, and T loops).
Source: RNAcentral
GGGCCUGUAGCUCAAUGGUAGAGCCGGUCGCUCAUAACGAUCUGGUUGCAGGUUCGAGUCCUGCCGGGCCCACCA